Long non-coding RNA from Gekko japonicus, 296 nucleotides. RefSeq lists it as uncharacterized. NCBI's taxonomy places the organism in Eukaryota, Metazoa, Chordata, Lepidosauria, Squamata, Gekkonidae. The record is from RefSeq and is a predicted model, not a curated record. The transcript is spliced from 3 exons.
AUUGGCCUGGUCUUCACCGAUGGGCGGUCUAAUGAUAAUGUCACAGAAUGGGCCAGAAAAGCAAAGGAAUCAGGGAUUGUCAUGUAUGCAGUUGGCAUUGGCAAAGCUGAGGAAAAGGAACUGCGGACCAUUGCCUCCGAGCCCGUGGAUGAGCACUUUCUAUACGCGGCCGAUUUCAAAGCCACAGAAAAAAUUGCCCUGAAGCUCAAAUCCAAGAUCUGUGAUGGAAUCAAAUCAACCCCAAUGCCCUGCCCCGAGAACAGCCACUAUGAGAUUUGUGGAAAUGGUUGCCCGGC